Molecule: ribosomal RNA, 774 nt
Filed under: Streptomyces sp. DOSMB-SP7
Lineage: Bacteria; Bacillati; Actinomycetota; Actinomycetes; Kitasatosporales; Streptomycetaceae
Description: bacterial SSU rRNA
Rfam family: Bacterial small subunit ribosomal RNA
Source: RNAcentral
UGGCGGCGUGCUUAACACAUGCAAGUCGAACGAUGAAGCCCUUUCGGGGGUGGAUUGGUGGCGAACGGGUGAGUAACACGUGGGUAAUCUGCCCUGCACUCCGGGACAAGCCCUGGAAACGGGGUCUAAUACCGGAUACGACUGUCGACCGCAUGGUGGGGAGGUGGAAAGCUCCGGCGGUGCAGGAUGAGCCCGCGGCCUAUCAGCUUGUUGGUGGGGUGAUGGCCUACCAAGGCGACGACGGGUAGCCGGCCUGAGAGGGCGACCGGCCACACUGGGACUGAGACACGGCCCAGACUCCUACGGGAGGCAGCAGUGGGGAAUAUUGCACAAUGGGCGGAAGCCUGAUGCAGCGACGCCGCGUGAGGGAUGACGGCCUUCGGGUUGUAAACCUCUUUCAGCAGGGAAGAAGCUUUUGUGACGGUACCUGCAGAAGAAGCACCGGCUAACUACGUGCCAGCAGCCGCGGUAAUACGUAGGGCGCGAGCGUUGUCCGGAAUUAUUGGGCGUAAAGAGCUCGUAGGCGGCCUGUCGCGUCGGAUGUGAAAGCCCGGGGCUUAACCCUGGGUCUGCAUUCGAUACGGGCAGGCUCGAGUUCGGUAGGGGAGAUCGGAAUUCCUGGUGUAGCGGUGAAAUGCGCAGAUAUCAGGAGGAACACCGGUGGCGAAGGCGGAUCUCUGGGCCGAUACUGACGCUGAGGAGCGAAAGCAUGGGGAGCGAACAGGAUUAGAUACCCUGGUAGUCCAUGCCGUAAACGUUGGGCACUAGGUGUGG